UCGCCUCCCAGUAGGUGGAGGUGCUGCCGUCGUUGGCGUUGGCGGCGACGUAGUUCUGGGUCGUGGAGGAGGCC
RNAcentral lists this transfer RNA (74 nucleotides) under Streptomyces flaveolus. RNAcentral's name for it is "tRNA-Ala". The record is from RNAcentral. Lineage: Bacteria; Bacillati; Actinomycetota; Actinomycetes; Kitasatosporales; Streptomycetaceae.